Molecule: ribosomal RNA, 446 nt
Filed under: uncultured bacterium
Lineage: Bacteria
Description: SSU rRNA
Rfam family: Bacterial small subunit ribosomal RNA
Source: RNAcentral
AGAGCGAACGCUGGCGGCAGGCCUAACACAUGCAAGUCGAGCGGCCGUAGCAAUACGGCAGCGGCAGACGGGAGAGUAACACGUGGGAACGCGCCCUUCGGUUCGGAAUAACUCAGGGAAACUUGAGCUAAUACCGGAUACGCCCUUACGGGGAAAGAUUUAUUGCCGAAGGAACGGCCCGCGUCCGAUUAGCUAGUUGGUGAGGUAAUGGCUCACCAAGGCGACGAUCGGUAGCUGGUCUGAGAGGAUGACCAGCCUCACUGGGACUGAGACACGGCCCAGACUCCUACGGGAGGCAGCAGUGGGGAAUAUUGGACAAUGGGCGCAAGCCUGAUCCAGCCAUGCCGCGUGGAUGAUGAAGGCCUUAGGGUUGUAAAGUCCUUUAACGGGGAAGAUAAUGACGGUACCCGUAGAAUAAGCCCGGCUAACUUCGUGCCAGCAGCCGC